GAUGAAGAACGUAGCGAAAUGCGACAAGUAAUGUGAAUUGCAGAAUUCCGUGAAUCAUCGAAUCUUUGAACGCACAUUGCGCCCUCUGGUAUUCUGGAGGGCAUGCCUGUCCGAGCGUCAUUGCUGCCCUCAAGCACGGCUUGUGUGUUGGGCCUCCGUCCUCCUCCCGGGGGACGGGCCCGAAAGGCAGCGGCGGCACCGCGUCCGGUCCUCGAGCGUAUGGGGCUUCGUCACCCGCUCUUGUAGGCCCGGCCGGCGCUUGCCGACACAUCAAUCUUUUUUCCAGGUUGACCUCGGAUCAGGUAGGGAUACCCGCUGAACUUAAGCAUAUCAAUAAGCGGAGGA
RNAcentral lists this unclassified non-coding RNA (345 nucleotides) under soil metagenome. RNAcentral describes it as "partial contains 5.8S ribosomal RNA, internal transcribed spacer 2, and large subunit ribosomal RNA". The stretch from base 1 to 120 matches the Rfam family "5.8S ribosomal RNA", at positions 35 to 154 of the family's 154-position model. The record is from RNAcentral.